RNAcentral lists this long non-coding RNA (781 nucleotides) under Nicotiana benthamiana. Its description in RNAcentral is "long non-coding RNA (NBEN_LNC016614)". Lineage: Eukaryota; Viridiplantae; Streptophyta; Magnoliopsida; Solanales; Solanaceae. The record is from RNAcentral.
UAAUUUUAAAUUUCUAGUAAUUUUAUUUUAAAAUUUCCGACUGACCUCGGUCGGUACGCAAUCUGUUUUUGGUAAGUUUUUGACAGAAUACAACUGUAAAGUGUUUUACAGUUGUACCGCCAGCCAACAAUGAAUCACCUAGAAUAAUAAAUUAGUUAAGCCAUUCAAUUAGACUAACUCACUUACUACUAAUUUUAAUUAAUAAACCCCAAAUCAUAAUUUAAUAAGCCCCAAAAUAAUAAUUUAAUAAACUCUAUCACAAUCAUGAUUCAAUAAAAUUGAAAAAAAAAAAUAGCUAAGCAAAAGCAUGAUCAUAAUCUUUUAAGAUAAUAUCUUCCAAGUUAGUUAUGCCAAGUACCUGACAUGAUAUCAUAAACAAAAUCAAUAAGAGUACACCCAAAAUCUAAGAAUUAUAAUCAAUUGAAAUAAUCCCAAAAUUCAAAAUUGUAUACCCUAUUUUAUACAGUUAAGAGAAUUUAAAUAACUAAAAUUAACAAGUAUAAAUAACUAACCUACAAAGAUAUAAGAGGGGUAUGAUUUUGGUAGUGGCACGACGGUGGUGGCGCGCGGACGACUAGUGGUGGUGCUGCACUUGUGGGACCAACGGCGGACGUGGAGAGACGAAGUGAGGGAGGUCUGAUUUUGGGUGAAGAGGGAGUGAUGAGUUGAUUUUGGGUAGGAUUUGGGAAGGGUUAGAAACUAUGGAAAAGAGGAUGAGAGAAAGAGAAAAGAGAGAAAUGGGAAAGAAACCCGUCUGUGGCAGGCUUUUAUUAAAAGAUUC